Molecule: ribosomal RNA, 293 nt
Filed under: uncultured bacterium
Lineage: Bacteria
Description: partial 16S ribosomal RNA
Rfam family: Bacterial small subunit ribosomal RNA
Source: RNAcentral
GGAUUAGAUACCCUGGUAGUCCACGCCGUAAACGAUGUCUACUAGUUGUCGGUUGUCUUGUACGACGGGUAACGCAGCUAACGCGAUAAGUAGACCGCCUGGGGAGUACGGCCGCAAGGUUAAAACUCAAAUGAAUUGACGGGGGCCCGCACAAGCGGUGGAGCAUGUGGUUUAAUUCGAAGCAACGCGAAGAACCUUACCAGGUCUUGACAUCCUCGGAACUUUCUAGAGAUAGAUUGGUGCCUUCGGGAACCGAGUGACAGGUGCUGCAUGGCUGUCGUCAGCUCGUGCCG